RNAcentral lists this long non-coding RNA (428 nucleotides) under Lynx canadensis (Canada lynx). RNAcentral's name for it is "lncRNA (ENSLCNG00005016668.1)". Lineage: Eukaryota; Metazoa; Chordata; Mammalia; Carnivora; Felidae. The record is from RNAcentral.
CAAAGGAGGCACCCCCCUACUGAAAGAGCUUUCUGCUUUAUGAUUCCAGGUGUCCGAUGCUAUCACUAGACCAGGGAAGUGGUGAGCUGCCUGUCUCGAGGGAUGAACCAGCAGAACUGGAAGGGGGUGGAUCACUGUGCCGUGGAAAGAUUAAGGACCAGGGUGGGCUCAAUGAGCCGUGGGCGUCUGUCCCCCUUGGGAUUAGCACCGCUGGGUCUCUGUCAGCAUUCGUGACACACGGCUGGGAGCUGCUUCCCCUGGUGAUAUCCAGUUGUGCCCGAGUGGGGGCCGGCCAUCAGCUCACCGACCAACAUCAGAGAGCAUCCCCCAGCCUGGCUGAGCCUGUCACCUGCAGCAGCCCCACGAUGAAUCUUGCAGGACUGGGGAGAACCCCUGGAGGCCGAGGAGCUGAGGAGAUGAGUCGAUGA